CCUAAGGCGCAAUGAAAGUGUCAGGGGUGCCUCCUUUAGGAGCGCUCCCCGUCGGGAGGAUGGGCCGCCGCGCCAGCAAUGGUCGGAGCCCCGCACUCCCGGGGCGUCUCGUUCUCAUAGCGAGUGGAGACGCACCAGGAGCGCACACGCUGGUACCCGAAAGAUGGUGAACUAUGCCUGGCCAGGACGAAGCCAGGGGAAACCCUGGUGGAGGUCCGAAGCGAUUCUGACGUGCAAAUCGAUCGUCUGAGCUGGGUAUAGGGGCGAAAGACCAAUCGAACCAUCUAGUAGCUGGUUCCCUCUGAAGUUUCCCUCAGGAUAGCUGGCACUCGGAAAGAGACGAGUCUCAUCCGGUAGAGCGAAUGAUUAGAGGUGAUGGGGUCGAAACGACUUCAACCUAUUCUCAAACUCCCAAUAGAUGAGAGCCCCGGCUUGCUUAAAAGUGAAGCCGGUGGACUCGGAUCAGAGAUGCCAAGUGGGCCAAUUUUGGUAAGCAGAUGGGGG
RNAcentral lists this ribosomal RNA (504 nucleotides) under Edessa meditabunda. RNAcentral's name for it is "eukaryotic LSU rRNA". It matches the Rfam family "Eukaryotic large subunit ribosomal RNA", at positions 708 to 1156 of the family's 3401-position model. Lineage: Eukaryota; Metazoa; Arthropoda; Insecta; Hemiptera; Pentatomidae. The record is from RNAcentral.